AUUGAACGCUGGCGGCAUGCCUAACACAUGCAAGUCGAGCGGAUCAAGGGUUUUGGCUCCCGGCGCAUGCGGCGGGCGGGUGUGCAAUAUCUUGGAGUGUGCGAGCGAGGGGGAUAAAACGGCGGAAAACGGGCUCUAAUACCGCACGCUCUCCGGGGGAGAGAGGGGGGGAGCAUGGGAUCUCACGCUCGGAGAGGAGGCUAGGUCAGAUUAGCUAGUUGGUGGGGUAAGGGCUUACCGAGGCGACGAUCUGUAGCUGGUCUGAGAGGAUGAUCAGCCACACUGGAACUGAGACACGGCCCAGACUCCUACGGGAGGCAGCAGUGGGGAAUUUUGGACAAUGGGCGCAAGCCUGAUCCAGCCAUGCCGCGUGUGUGAUGAAGGUCUUCGGAUUGUAAAGUACUUUAGUUCGGAACGAACAGCUUUCCUUUAAUACGUUGCUGUCAUGACGUUACCGAAAGAAUAAGCACCGGCUAACUACGUG
Molecule: ribosomal RNA, 484 nt
Filed under: uncultured bacterium
Lineage: Bacteria
Description: partial 16S ribosomal RNA
Rfam family: Bacterial small subunit ribosomal RNA
Source: RNAcentral